CAUUGAAGCAAGAGGGUUAAGAGGGAGUCUACAAGUGGAGAUAUGUUCAUUGGAAAGAUAAAUUUGGUGUUCGGAGCAUUCUUGAAUGAGCUGCUGUCAUUGAAGCAACAAAAAGCUUAGUAAAAAGAACGAUGAGGUUCUCUCUCUUAUUCUACGUAAGUAGUCAGUCUCCAGAGAAAUUAAUUAAUGUGUUUUUCUUGUCGAACUCUUGAAGAGUUUUGAUUCACUGAAACCAAACACGGAUUAGCUAGGAAUAGAUGUUGUGAAAAUAAAUGUCGCAUUUUCAUACCAUCUUGUUUUACCUAUAUGUACUUGCAUCUUUAUCUUUCAUUAUCGCUCGCUCUUGCUAACAUAAGUGAGCCUUUUCUCAGGAAAAUCAUGACAACAUUUGGAGAUGUUGAGGGAGCAUUGGAGGAGGACUUUCUUUACUCGUAACUCUUUCCCCACACUUAUGUUUAUAAUCUUAAGCAUUAGUCGAGACAGUGCGUUAGCAUAUCCAAUAAAACUGGAAUUUUGAGAAUUUUUAAACUAUAUUAAUCAUACCUAAUUUCAGGGAAUCAGCAUAAUUUGUAUAAAGGUAGUAAAAAAGAAAAAGCUGUAUGAAAAACAUGACAUUUAUACUCUAAAAGACGAAGAAAUAAUUAGGAUUACAUAUAUCACGUUAGGUUGCUAGGGAACUUUUCGAAGGAUUCGAAAAUACUCAGAAUAAUACCGACGAAAGCUUAUAAAAACGUGUUGAUGCUUAUGAUGGAAACCUAUUCAUCAUCAAUCCAAGGGGAAGAGGAUAGGUUCGCUUUUCUUUAAAUACUACUUAUUGUAGAAGCCGGUAAACCGGACUGAUGUAAACGAUAUAAUAAAAGCGAAGUUAAGGAAAUAGACGAAUAUAGAAAACGAAUACGAGAACGAUAAGAAAUCGUAUUCGCAACGAGACAUGGAGGCGAGAUAUGAUCUCUUUCCUUAACUCAAAAUAUUCGCUCCGUUAGUGAGACAGGACUGUACGAAUAUAGAGUCUCAGGAUACAACCAUGGCAGACGAGUCACGCCUCACCCGUGAUCGCCCUAUCGAACUAAAAAUCUACGAAACACUCUCGCAAUAAUAGACUUACGCAGAGGGAUUUUUGCUGUUGGAUUUCGAUUCAGAAAAGGUUAAGAAAUGAAGGAAGAGGAGAGACGAUAUUUAAAGAGACGGAAACGACCCACUUCCCGCAACAGCUGCUGCACGUGGGCGAGAAUCUCGCGGAGAUCGAGGGAAGUUGAGUUCUGAAAACUUUUUCCUCAAGACUCUCUCUUAUCUCGUUUUAAACUUUCGAGAGGAUAAAAUGCAUGACGUUUUUAUUUUCUAGACAAACUACUUGUCGUUUUAAAUAAAAUUGUAUGCUGUUUUUUCUCGAAAUAAAUGGCAAAACGUUGAGCUUAACUUGGUCCAAAAAAAAUAAUUUUUAUUGGGCCAAAAGUCCUCCACCCAAGCCCAAGACCACGCCCGAGCCGGACGGCGGCGGCAGCGUGCGCGUGGGAAACCUUUCUCUUUCACCAAGCCGUUUAAGCUCUCAUAGUGAGAAGGUAUAUUUAUAUCACUCCAAUUCUCUCCUCUUGGCCGAUGUGGGACUCUUCCCCUUAGCCAUAUUUCAUUUAAUCGACAUUUAUUUGGGCUCACAGCAUCUGAGGCCCAAUAUCAUUUGUAUUCACAUUAUUAAUAAAAGCCUAAUGGCUAUUAUUGUAUCCAACACUUAUUAUUCCCUUCACAUAUGUAUAUUAUUACUGUAGGUUCCACAACAACUUAUGCACUCGAAUUCGGAUAGCAUUAUAAACUUCUUUACGUACUUUCUUUUUCUAUUUUAAAGUUUUUUUUCAUGCUUAAUCUUAUUUAAAUAACGUGAUCAACUCCAUUACUAAUGUUUACCUAUUUUAGGUUGCCAUCUUCCGAUCCACGACUAUUAUAUGUGUUAAAACUUCUUUUAGAAUCUGAUAUUAGAUUUGUUUUUUUCAAUUACUUUGCUUUUGGUACAUACAUACAUAAAUCUACUGAGAUUCAUAUAUUUGAAAAUUACCGAACUGUUUAUCUGAAAUCGAAUUAACCAAAAUAUUUUGAUUAAUUGAAGAUACAAAGUUCUCUUCAUAUAUCAGCUAGGAUGCUUUUCUUUUUUACAAAUAGCUAGGAUGUUUUCAAUUUUUACUUGGUUCGUCAAACAGAAAUUACCCGUUCUUUUUGUUUGUCGCUUGGUUUAGAUGGUCGGACCAUCUUCCAAGAGAGUGGUUAAUUAGCAAGACAUGUAUUAAACACAGUACUAUCUUUAAGCUAUUGGUUCGACAUGCUGAAAGAAUUCACGUAUCAGAGCUUUUAGAUUCGAUCAACUACAUGAUACAACAAUUACUAGUUUGGAAAAGUUAUUUCGACUUUAUUCUUGUUUUUUGAACAUUAUAUUCCGACUAUAUCCUCUGAAAAUUUUAGUAAAAGUAAGACAUAUUACGUAGAAAAAGUUAACAUUCAUGAACAAAAUAAAAGCUGUAAAACCAGUAUUUAUAUAUUACAAGAUAUGAGUCCGUUGCAUUGCAACGGAUUUUUGUUCGAUGUUUUAAUUUAAUAAAAACCAUAAAAUAAUAAAUCACUUUAUUAUAGUAUUAUGAUUGUUUUUUACAUAUGUUGUUUGAGAUUUAUUUUAUAAUUAAAAUAUUUUCACGUAUAAGUUCAAGUUAAUAUUUGUCUUUUAUAAUCAUGGUGCAUAGAUGAAUUGUUAUAAACUUUAUACUAAAGAUGAGAGAAAAUACUAUACAUAAACAUUAAAACUGAACACAAUCCGAAAUAAGAAAUGAAAAGUAAAAAGAAAUGAAAGUUAAAUACACCAAUCGAAUCAAUGAUAGCAUUAUACAUGUUCUUAUGUACUAAUUUAAUGUUUUAUUAAAUAAGUCUUUAAAAUUUUAUUUUGCUAGGAUUUUUUUUUGAAAAAUGAAAACAUUCUAUUUUAUAAAUCUCCUUUUUAUUUACAGUUAAAAAUAAAAAUAUCAAAUACUCUUUUAUAAUUUUGUUUAAGAUUUUAGAAAAGGUAAAUUACUGUCAUAUAACAUAUUACAAUUAUUUUCUCUUUAGAAUUUCAUAAAAAAAAAUAUUUCUAUCAAAUAAUUAUUUUUAGUUAUUAAUAAAUAUUUUAAAAAUUGCUAUUUUUACAAUUCGUAUCAAUACUAAUUUUACGCUUCUUUUGUUAAUUAAAUAAUUUUUAGUAUCAUGUUCAUCAUCAAACACUCUCUUAAAAAUAAUAACAAAUAAAGUUUUACAAUUAUUUUUUGGUCAGGACUUAAAAAUAUUAUACAAAUUUCUUUUGUUUACUUUUUUUUUUAUAAAAAAGGAAAAAAACUAUCAAAUAUUUGACAGUUUUGUAGGAUUUUAGAAAGGAAAUUAAUAUUACAUAAUAUUUUACUAUUAUAUUUUUUCUAGGAUUUAA
Brassica rapa (field mustard) is the source of this 3436-nucleotide long non-coding RNA. RefSeq lists it as uncharacterized. The record is from RefSeq and is a predicted model, not a curated record. Lineage: Eukaryota; Viridiplantae; Streptophyta; Magnoliopsida; Brassicales; Brassicaceae.